RNAcentral lists this ribosomal RNA (460 nucleotides) under uncultured bacterium. RNAcentral describes it as "partial 16S ribosomal RNA". It matches the Rfam family "Bacterial small subunit ribosomal RNA", at positions 338 to 795 of the family's 1533-position model. The record is from RNAcentral.
CCUACGGGUGGCUGCAGUGAGGAAUAUUGGUCAAUGGGCGCGAGCCUGAACCAGCCAAGUCGCGUGAAGGAAGACUGCCCUACGGGUUGUAAACCUCUUUUGUCAGGGAACAACGUCAGGCACGUGUGCCCGUAUGUAUGUACCUUAUGAAAAAGGAUCGGCUAACUCCGUGCCAGCAGCCGCAGUAAUACGGAGGAUUCGAGCGUUAUCCGGAUUUAUUGGGUUUAAAGGGAGCGUAGGCGGGUUGUUAAGUCAGUUGUGAAAGUUUGCGGCUCAACCGUAAAAUUGCAAUUGAUACUGGCAGCCUUGAGUACAGUAGAGGUAGGCGGAAUUCGUGGUGUAGCGGUGAAAUGCUUAGAUAUCACGAAGAACUCCGAUUGCGAAGGCAGCCUACUGGACUGCCACUGACACUGAGGCUCGAAAGUGUGGGUAUCAAACAGGAUUAGAUACCCCUGUAGUC